UUGCUUGUGGGUGACGUGAGAGCGGUCCCAGGGGACGCCUGGCUGAGUUGGUACAACUGGCGGGGUUCUGCAGUGGUUUGGAGUUUGGAAAAUCAGUGUGAUGGGACAGGAAGCAGAAGCGAAGGUCAAGCUGGAGUUGUGGCCUCAAUCAACAAAGAGUUGGAGCAGACACAUCUCGGACAUAGAAAAGGAUGGCUGAAGAAAUACAUCCAUCCAAUUCAGGCUGGGUACUCAGACAUUGGAAUAGAAGCUGUGAAAAUCAAGAAUAUCUGGAAUCUGAACACACAAGGAAGAACAGUGGAUUAGACACAGACACGGAAGAUUACAGUUCCACCUGUUCAGAGCCAGAUAUCUGGUGUGCUGGCUGUGCCAUCUGCUUUUCCUGCAGGACAUGUGGAGAAGAGAAGGAAAAUGAAUUACCUAGCCAUGCAAGGACAGCAUAAAACUAACUGAAAGGAUAUACUGGCUUUCGAAGAACAAUCUCUUUAGAAGCUCUCUGCAGUUUCAUCUAUCUUGCCUACUCUAGCCAGUUUCAUCGUGAACACACAAAUGUCAAAGGCUGUCCCAGGUUCAGGGAGGAUUAACUUAAAAGCUAGGCUUCUUAGGGCCACUUUUAAUUUAAGGAGACCCUGAUAUGUGCAGUUGGGACUCCUGGGAACGCUUUCAGUUAUUUAAGUGGCAUAAUACCUUGUUUAAAGAUGGAAGGCUUGCAUCAAAUUUGGCUGUGAAGUGCUGUGCGUGGUGUUUGAUACUACAGAUGUUCCAGGAGUGUCUCCUUGUGGCCUUCUGUGCUUGUUCCAGGGCAAGGUAUGUGCGAGCUCAGUGACUGAUUUGUCUCUUGCUUUCACAGGGAUCAAUAUAGACAAAUCAAUAAAGAUAACUGGAUCUG
Molecule: long non-coding RNA, 889 nt
Organism: Pygoscelis adeliae (Adelie penguin)
Lineage: Eukaryota; Metazoa; Chordata; Aves; Sphenisciformes; Spheniscidae
Exons: 5
Source: RefSeq, a predicted model, not a curated record